GGUUAUACUAAUAAUACAAUAAAAAAUAAUUGGUUAUAAUUAAUGGAAAAUUAUUUUGAAUUGAUUUUUAGUUUUAUAAAGUGAAAUUUUUAAAAUUAUAAUAAGUUUGAAUUUGUUAUAUGAGGUUAAUAAAUUUAGGAAAGAAACUAGGAUUAGAUACCCUAUUAUUCUAAACGGAAUAUAUUUACCAAAUUAGUAGUAGUUAUGGUCUUGAAAAUUAAAAAAGUUGGCGGUAUUUUAGUCUAUUCAGAGGAACCUGUCCUAUAAUCGAUGAUCCACGAUUUUUAUUACUUACUUUAUUAGUUUAUAUAUCGCCGUAGUUUGAAUAUUUUUUAAAAAAAGUAAUAUUCAAAAUAUUUUAUAAAAGAGUAAUUCAGGUCAAGGUGUAGCUUAUAAGUAAGAAGAGAUGGGUUACAUUAAAUUUAUUUAUAUGAAUUAAUAAGUGAAAUUUUUUAUGAAAGUGGAUUUGAAAGUAAUUUUAUUUAUAUAGGUAAGAUGAUUUUAGCUCUAAAAUAUGUACAUA
RNAcentral lists this ribosomal RNA (523 nucleotides) under Entiminae sp. GZ72. RNAcentral describes it as "partial 12S ribosomal RNA". Lineage: Eukaryota; Metazoa; Arthropoda; Insecta; Coleoptera; Curculionidae. The record is from RNAcentral.